RNAcentral lists this ribosomal RNA (5505 nucleotides) under Triticum aestivum (bread wheat). Its description in RNAcentral is "partial small subunit ribosomal RNA". The record is from RNAcentral. Lineage: Eukaryota; Viridiplantae; Streptophyta; Magnoliopsida; Poales; Poaceae.
UACAGCAGCAGCCGCCCGCUGCGGCUCCGGCUAGGGGAGCCGCCGCGGAGGGGCCGGCCGGCGCACGAGCCGGCGCGGGAGCUGUUCCAGUAGUUCGUGAGGAGGACCGCGUUCGUGAGGCGCGAGCAGAGGCGGACGUUCAGGCGGUAGCUGGAGGAGAGGCGGCGGAGGAGGAGGCGGGGGNNNNNNNNNNNNGGCAGGCGGAGCGGGUAGGGGCCGGAGGGGCGGGGGCAGCGGCUCCGGCGCGAGGUCCGCGAGGAGGAGCGGGAGCUAGGGCCGAGGGGGUUCCAGCGGCUCGGGCGGGAGCUCACGCAGCGGUCGGAGGAGAGGGAGGCGGAGGAGGAGCCGCUGCAGCGGGGGAGGCUGGGGAGCGGCCAGAGGUCCGAGAAGCGGCGCCAGGAGAGCACGCCGCCGGAGCCGCUGCUGCGGGAGCUCUAGCGGCGCGAGGCGCACGAGCAGCGGAAGCGCGCCACGGGCAGCCAGAGGCAGGCGCCCCUCACGGACCCGGUCUACCACUUCCGCACGAUAUUGGACAUGGAGCCCUCGCGGUCGCCGCCCUUGGUCGAGACGCGGUUCGACCGCGAGCGCGUCCACGACCAACAGCACAAGCGCGCGCACCUCCGCCUGCGGUACCUGCAGGCGCACGCGUGGCAGAGUCGACGGCUGUACUACCUGGAGAGGCUGGCGUCGGAGUUGCUGAGGUCGCAGCACGUCCGCCGCGUCUGCAAGUAUUUACUCCGCUACCUCCCCUCGCUGCGCGGUCUCCUACGGCGCGUACACGGCCCGCUCCCCCUGUCUCCGCCCCUCCUACUCUCGUACUCGUCCUAGUCCCUCCUACCCGACCGCAACAAGUUUUUGGAGACGUUUGACAGUUACUUCAAGCGGUGCGGACUAUUGGGCCUACUAGGACAUGAAGAGGCCCCCUUCCACAACAGUGAACUCGAUGAAUCCUACCAGCAGCUGUUACGACCCGGCAAGACCUUCUGUUUACUCUUCAUAGAACUUCGUUAGUUCGUCAUGGAAACAAAUAGGAACAACUUCUUGUCACGGUACAGUCGUUACUCGCAAAAGGUCGAAAACACGAGGUAAAAAUACCCAGAAGACAAUUCCAAAUCUAGACCAAACUUCCUCCUUUAACCUUAUAAAAAAGGAUACGAACAGGAUUCCCAAGAACUUUUACAAGAAGUCGGAUCGAAAAACGUUUUUUACUGUCAAGAUUUGAAAGACCACUUCUAAACAUUUCUUGGAGUCCAAUAAUAACUAUAGAAACACUUGAUACUAACACUGCAGCUACGUGGCUUGUAAAAACUUUCCUAACACUUGCCUGAUGAAUUCUGCCGAAAUCCACAGGGACUACCUAGUUGUUGCUGUGAUUGACAACGUGUUCUGGUUUGUAAAGCUUAACUUAGACAGUUCACGGAACGUCGACAAUAGUUUAGUUACCCAAGUACCUACCUGGUCGUCGACUCUUAACCACUUCAAGAGGGAUAUUUAAGACUUCAUGAUUCAAGUCACCUGUUAGUAUUAUACGUAUUACCUCUUCUUCCCUGUCCUUACCUAAUACUAGACGUUAGACUCAGAUCAUCGAGACUGCAUAGACUAAGAAGAAGUCAACUCGUUGCUGCACGAAUGUUUUAUCUUGAAGUCUUUCCUUAACGGAACAAAUUGUCUUUUGGAAGGUUUCCAUAACUGAAAGAGUAAGCUUCGUUCUUCAAUCCGGUCAGGGGUCUUCUACACCGAAGAAAGGACUAUUUGUGACGACCGAAUUUACGUUGUUACCAACCUCUGAUAAACCCACUUUCUCUGCUCAAAGGAGAGUUUCAGUACGUACGGAUACACCUACGUGAUUUGAAAUUUCCCAACCUAAAGCCACUCCGUUAAUCUAAGAAAGACGCUCCAAAGUCCAAUGGUCCCCUUCGUGUCUUUUAACUGUCCUAGUACCUUUUUAAACGACUUGCGAAGACAUUUACGUUGGGUUUACAAAAAUGGUCACGUCUAUGGCGAAUAUAAGAACGAAUAAGGCACUAGAACGAUUUGUGACUACGAGUGUCACAGUACCACUUCCUAUUCUACAGAUUCCGACUAAAAUACGCGUUAUUGGCCCCUUAACUACUACCCUUCCUAAAUGGACUUCGAAUGAAUUCAUGUAACAUGCUGGUUUAGCAAUCGUUACUCUAGUUUUACUCACGACUAAGAAGUCGACGUGUUUGGUUCGUUUGGUUGUCGCAUUCAUUCGAAGAUCCGAAUCUGUUGUAAUACUUGGAACAGUUAACCCCUGACUGUCUUCUGUUCCGUGUGCCGCGUUUACUGAACGAGUAAUUCGUGUAUGUACUCUUUAAAUUUCGUUUCGUACCCUUUAGUCUCAGACACAAAAUAUAACAACGACUACGUUGGUAAAAUUCCAAGUACUACCUCCGGACAACCCGAGGAUACUACCGACGCAAGUCACACUGAGAACUGGUUUCACUACUGUUCCGACGGUGUAGUGUCACAAAUUAACCUAAUUCUAGCCGUCACGUACAGUGGAGACAAUACACGGACGUCUGUGUCUCUCUACGGAAAAACUGUAGGUAUCGGUUUAAGUGUAGGGAGGUAAGACGACGUCUGUACUUUGUCUUCUUACAGCUGCGACAAUUCCGAUAUUAAAGAUAGCGUUAGCUUCUACCUUUAAUGAACGUCCUUCGAACCCUCGUGCACGAUUGUACAAAUAGUGCCAAACUUGUAAAUGUAAACGAACCUCUUCCUCAUGGAUGACUACGAAGUAAAGACUGUCACGGAUACCAACUCAGUCUUCCCUUUUGAGUCUACAGAUGAAGAUAAGAUGGAAGUUUCUCUCGGUUACGAGAAGUCUUAGGACGGCACUACCGACGACAAUCUCCCCCAAGAAUACUAUCGUGACAACGUUUUUGGUCACGGAGUGGUAACCAAUGAGGACUUGUCUAGUUAUCAAAGUAUAGUUUGUAUUUAAACGACCUGGUCUAUCCGUAACAACUCAACUUAGUAUAUAAACGGGUAUCAGUUUCCAAUUUGUCACUACGGUAACAACGAAAACACUUUCGAGAAACGUUCCAGAGUUACUGACUCAACGUCAGAGGCAGUCUAGGAGCAUAGAAGACGGAAUGUUUUUAUCAUCUCUAGCGCGUAAUGUUAUAGUUGGCGUAUGCAAACCACACCAGAGCUUAAACCUUUCAAAAUAGUCUUAAAAAACACAGACAGCCUAAUAAUCUUUUAGAAAGACAACGUUACAAGCAUUACCUGAGAGAUUCCGUCGAUCGUUACUUCAAAAACCUUUCUCUCCUUGACCGUUUGAUAUUGAAAGUUUUACUCAAGGAAGUUGGGAAGCACCACCAAUACGUCUUCUCAUUACAAGGUCUUCACGCACUCGAUUAACAAGCUACACAGAGUGUCUACCAGGAUUCAGCUCAAUUGUUGUAUUUUAGACCGACCUUCCCACAAAAAUGCCAAAAAUGAAGACGACGCCAACUACUAUGCUUCUCAUGACAGGAUCACCGUAAACCCUGAUACCUUUCUUAACAGGCACUGAUGAAAGCUAUGUAUUGGCUCUGUCUACGGUGUUGUAAAUGUCUAACACAGCUUACGGAAUAACGUAAAUGUUCAUCGGUUAAAUUAUCACUCCGGUCAGAGUUGCGAUAACGUAAAGAGGCUAAGACACGACAAUUUGAACGGCUGCUUCCUAAACAGACAGUUCUAUUCCCACGGCUACCUGGGUCCUUAAGUCUGUACAGUCUUCCUUUACGGUAACACUUGUUCUUACUAAUACAAAGGAAGACCCAAGGAGAGGAACUUCCAAAUCGGUCUAACUGUUGACUAGGUUCCGACUGGUAACCCUUUUCACGACAUCCUCACGAAAAACUAUAAAACUUCCUAGUACCCGUGGAGAAAAGCGUCAGGAAAACCUGGUCAUAUAAUCUCAGACAACAAAUAGGAGACAAAUCGUUAGUUUCCAGAUCCCAAUUACUAGUCUGGAAUUGUAGUUUGCCGUGGCUCCCACUAAAAAGUUGAGAACUUUGUGUUUGUAACCGUCACUUUAGAAAUCACCCAAAUAAACAACUAAAGAAACUGCACUACGCCGGUCUUGAACGUUCUCAACGUAGGUAACAGCGUAUAAAAUAGUCUUCAGGGAUAUUUGUAAGACGAUGGUAGCCACAUAGACGAAACGAUGCAAAUCACCUCCCUCAACCGUCAUUUGAAAGGUUCCUACUUACCUUCCUACAAGAAGAGACGAAGUUUCUUAGUAGUCGUGUUUGGAAAUAACGUAAGAGAUUUUAACAUUCCUACUACGUUCUGUAGCUGUAAGGUCUAUCUUACCUUAGAAUAAGCCUUCGACUAGUGAUAAGUCUAGUACUUUAAAUAUCAUUGCUACUUCUACUUCGAUUAUACCUCUGUUGAAGAAUGCGGUAACAGUUUGACUUUUUAGUAUACCGGGAUUAGGAGAAUUAGCAAGUCCCGUAAUAAUUUAACAUGCUCCUCGUCCCUUUUAUAGAAGUACGACUCGUGUAAUCGUAAGAAAACCUCUACUAUAGUUCAUAACGUUGAGUACGUUCACUUCACUCGAGUCUGAGAAGCAAUGUCUACUUUAAGGUAUUUAGUACAAGGGAAGACCUCCGUAGACUCGGUCGUCAACAGGUAAAGCUCUUGCUCUGUAUGGUUUCGAUGGAGUUCGAAGAGGUUCGACACGAGGUACCCAUAGGUAAGAAUAGCCUUCUGUACCUGUAUCUUAGUGCUGAUGAACUAUGGACACUCUUUUAUGACGCCUGUAUAGACUUCACGCGGCCCUUACCUGGUAGACUACUUCGAAGAGUACCGUUAGUUUGAAAUGUAACGUAUCACGGUGACCCGCGACGGUUCGUUCUCCUCGACAGACGAUCCUGGGGGAACCAAGAAGAUCGCUACGUCAAUGACGUAUUGGAUCUCUUCUUAAGUAAAUCCUCUCAUGACGGGGCGAAAAAGGGUGACAACUAACUAGACUAAGCGACGCUCGUAUCGAGACCUCUACAAGUUGUGCGCGACAUGUUUUAGAAGUUUAGUAGUUAUCCGGGAUACUAUCUUCAUAUUACCGUGUAAGGGCAGGACGAUCCGCGUGUUAAAACACUGUUGUAAGACUGUAGGACUUACUCGGGAAGGAAGUCCUAGGACCUCAAGUUCACGUAUAAUGAUCAGGUCUAUAGUCCAUAUUUCUCCUUUUAUGUAAAACGGAUGUAGGUGAAGUCGGUCACUCGAGAUAGUAGACUUGUAAACCGGUCUGUCUCCUAGUAAGGACUACUGAACAGUGAGAAAACUCGGACCAUACGCGACUCACAAGUACAUUUGCCUACUCUACAAUGUCACCAAUCGACAACAAAUCCGUCUACUCGAUACUCCUGGAACCGUGUGCCUACGGAACCUCCUGUGUGUGUUUUUAUACAACGCUCGGAUUUUUAAAGGGUUGAGACGGUUUAGGAACAUGAGGUAGGCAAGUGUUUGCAUUCUGCAAAACCUAUAAAG